This 256-nucleotide ribosomal RNA is filed under the name Texas Phoenix palm phytoplasma. Its description in RNAcentral is "partial 16S ribosomal RNA". It matches the Rfam family "Bacterial small subunit ribosomal RNA", at positions 1285 to 1533 of the family's 1533-position model. Lineage: Bacteria; Bacillati; Mycoplasmatota; Mollicutes; Acholeplasmatales; Acholeplasmataceae. The record is from RNAcentral.
GUCUUAGUCUCGGAUUGAAGUCUGCAACUCGACUUCAUGAAGUUGGAAUCGCUAGUAAUCGCGAAUCAGCAUGUCGCGGUGAAUACGUUCUCGGGGUUUGUACACACCGCCCGUCAAACCACGAAAGUGGACAAUACCCGAAAGCGAUAGCCUAACUGCGCAAGCAGAGGGAAUCGUCUAAGGUAGGGUCGAUGAUUGGGGUUAAGUCGUAACAAGGUAUCCCUACCGGAAGGUGGGGAUGGAUCACCUCCUUUCU